Molecule: long non-coding RNA, 1211 nt
Filed under: Scleropages formosus (Asian bonytongue)
Lineage: Eukaryota; Metazoa; Chordata; Actinopteri; Osteoglossiformes; Osteoglossidae
Description: lncRNA (ENSSFOG00015030296.1)
Source: RNAcentral
GUUCCUUUUGCUCUAGUUGUACAAGAGCCUGUAGAAUUGCAUAUAGCAAAACCAGAAAAAGAACCUAAGCGGAUUAGCUUCUCAUGGGACAGUAUCAGUGAGAGAGCUCCUUCCAAAUCAGCAGAGCUGAAGGCAUCUAUCAGAGUGUCUCCUAUCCAGACUGUCCAGCUUCCCUGUCAAGUAGAGGAUGUCAGAUCUCCCCAUUUUUCUCCAAAAAUGUCACCUGUGGCAGGUAAUUUAGCCAGUCAAAAAUUUAAGGAGAGAAAACUAAUCUUUAACUUUGUUUUUGAACAAAGCAAGGCAUUUCCUUUUAAUGUCUCAAAUGCUUAUGGUUCAGUGGACCAGAUCACACACACUGCUGGACUCUUGCGUCUUGAUGCUGCGGGCAGAGAGCCAUCUGAAGAUGAGUUCCUGAGGACAGAAGAGCCUGUUUGCACUGGCCAUUCUCCCCAGUUUCUGCCGUUGGACAAUUUGUCACCCGACCUCUCCGUGGAGCAAAGAGAGGAACUAAGACACAGUGAUCCAGGCAUUCCCACUGAAGCUAGACCUACAACCCAUGCGGAGAGUGUUCCUCAAACUCCCAUCAGUCAAGUCUGGAUUCUGUAUCAUCUUGCACACAUGACUGAUGAGGGAACUUUGUCCACCAAAGUUUUGUCCCAACCUCCUUUUAAUGGUUGUGCUUAUAUUCGAAUGUUUGGGCCUGGCCACGUCCUGCUAGCAGAGAGAUCUUCUCGUCAUGCUCCACCUGAUAUGGAACCAGUAAGAGGAUGUCUGAGCCCAGGAGGUAGCUUUGUAUCUGUUCCUUCGCAGCCAGCUUCCACAGACAUAUCCCAUCCAGGGAUGAGCAUACCAAAUUAUUUUCUGUCACUGGAGGACAGUCUGGACAAUGAGGCUCAGAAUUCUGUUACUGUCAGAACAAGCAGCAGGAUGCUCUGUCAAGUUCUCAGCAACACUGGAAGUAUGGUUUAUUCACCUGCUAUCUUCCGCUCAGUCACCCUUGCUACACCUUUGGAUGGACAAGCAGUUAAGUCCAAACCAUAUUCCACAAGCGCCCCUGUUAUAUUAUAGGGGCAGGCAGGAGCACCAGCCUCGCAAAGCUUCCAUCGUGGGUUUUAAUAUAGAAAAUAUGCAGAAUACACUGUUUCUAUAUGUAAUCUUUCUGCAUGGCACACCUGAAGGUAGCUCUUACAUUAAAAAUGAGCAUCAGGUAC